This 253-nucleotide ribosomal RNA is filed under the name uncultured bacterium. Its description in RNAcentral is "partial 16S ribosomal RNA". It matches the Rfam family "Bacterial small subunit ribosomal RNA", at positions 524 to 776 of the family's 1533-position model. The record is from RNAcentral.
UACGUAGGGUGCGAGCGUUAAUCGGAAUUACUGGGCGUAAAGGGUGCGCAGGCGGUUGAUUAAGUCAGAUGUGAAAUACCUGGGCUUAACCUGGGAAUGGCAUUUGAGACUGGUCGGCUAGAGUGUGUCAGAGGGGGGUAGAAUUCCACGUGUAGCAGUGAAAUGCGUAGAGAUGUGGAGGAAUACCGAUGGCGAAGGCAGCCCCCUGGGAUAACACUGACGCUCAGGCACGAAAGCGUGGGGAGCAAACAGG